RNAcentral lists this ribosomal RNA (482 nucleotides) under uncultured bacterium. Its description in RNAcentral is "bacterial SSU rRNA". It matches the Rfam family "Bacterial small subunit ribosomal RNA", at positions 29 to 513 of the family's 1533-position model. The record is from RNAcentral.
AACGAACGCUGGCGGCAUGCUUAACACAUGCAAGUCGAACGGUUUUAUGGUGCUUGCACCAUGGAAUAGUGGCAGACGGGUGAGUAACGCGUGGGAACGUACCUUAAGGUUCGGAAUAACUGUUGGAAACGGCAGCUAAUACUGGAUGUGCCCGAGAGGGGAAAGAUUUAUUGCCUUAAGAGCGGCCCGCGUUAGAUUAGGUAGUUGGUAGGGUAAAGGCCUACCAAGCCGAUGAUCUAUAGCUGGUUUGAGAAGAUGAUCAGCCACACUGGGACUGAGACACGGUCCAGACUCCUACGGGAGGCAGCAGUGGGGAAUUUUGGACAAUGGGGGCAACCCUGAUCCAGCAAUGCCGCGUGAGUGAAGAAGGCCUUCGGGUUGGUAAAGUACUCUUUUGUUCAGGGAAGAAACGGUAGAGAGCUAAUAUCUCUUGCUAAUGACGGUACCUGAAGAAUAAGACACCGGCUAACUACGUGCCAGCA